CAAUAUAUGGGGGAAAGGCGUGAUUGCUGUGGCCUGUGACUCAGAGAAAGCAGUAACUGCUGAGGAAAUGAAGACACUUCUGGGACGUUUGCCCUAAUAGGAUCCUCUGAACAAGUCUGCAGAAAAAAGGACAGGAAUCUGGAGAGUCAGAUCAACACUUGUUUUGAUUUUUAAGUGAGGAAAAAGAAGAAAGUUGGUUCUGG
This 203-nucleotide long non-coding RNA is filed under the name Salvator merianae (Argentine black and white tegu). RNAcentral describes it as "lncRNA (ENSSMRG00000017333.1)". Lineage: Eukaryota; Metazoa; Chordata; Lepidosauria; Squamata; Teiidae. The record is from RNAcentral.